Ribosomal RNA from Plasmodium relictum, 1640 nucleotides. Lineage: Eukaryota; Apicomplexa; Aconoidasida; Haemosporida; Plasmodiidae. The record is from RefSeq and is a predicted model, not a curated record.
GGUAAAGUGAUUUUUUUAAAAAGGAAUUUAAAAGUAUAUUUUAAAGUAUAUAUUUUAUAUGCUUUAAUAAUAAUAACAAUUUUAAAAUAUCAAUUUUUUAAAAUAUAAUGUUUAAAUUUUAAAUUAUGAGAAUUAAGUUGAAAUUGUAUCAAUUAAUUUUCAUGUUAUAUAUAUAUGGCUUAUUUUAAAAAUAUCUUUUAAGGUAUCAUAUAUUUUAUUUGGAGAUUUUAUAAAUUUAAAAUGAAAAUUUAGUUUUUUUUGUAGUAUGCAUAGAAAAUUAUGUAGAUAAUUUUAGGGGUAGCAAUUCUUAAAAAUUGAUUUGUUAUUUAAGAGCAUUCAAAACAUAAAAGGGAUUUGUCUUUUAUAGUUGUUAGGUAUUUGCAAAAUGAUAUUUACCACAUUUAAGUUUACCUUUUUGCUUUUUGAAUAUAAGGUCAAUUGUGAAUAUUGUGAGAUAUUUAUUUUUUCUUAUGAUACUUUUUAAUAAAAGUAUUUAAAAAUAAAAGUAUUUAAAUGUAAAAAUGAAAAGGAAUAUAGUAGUAAUAUAUUUUAUACUAGGCAAAAAAAAAUAAUACUUAUAGUAAGAUUUUUUAAAUAAGGUAGAGUUUUAUAAAAUUUUUAUAGCAAAACUUUAUAUUAACCAAGGUAAUAUAGUGUUUUAUUUAUAAUUAUAAAAAACAUAUUACAAAGUUCUUAAAGUAUAUAUACAAUGCUAUUAAUACUUUCUAUAACUCAAAACAUAAUAAUAAAAAAAAUUAAAUGAGUAUGAUAAUUAAUUUAUAUAUAUAAAUAUACUUAACCGAAAUUUUUUCUUGAUUUUAUAAAUUCAAUAAAAAGAGAAAAAAAUUUAAGCUUUAUGAAUUUCUCAUAUUAAAUAAUAUAUAAUAUAUAAAUUAAAAAUAAGAAAAAUCAUUAUAGGCUCUCAACGCCAUGCCCAUUAAAUUUGCUUGCCCAAUGUUCUACCAGGAUCAUUGAACUCGCAAUUAAUGAAUCAUUAUUUUAAAAUAAUAAAAUUUACAGAUAAUAUAAUUGAAAAAUAUUUACAGAUAAUAUAAUUGAAAAAUUCAAUUCAUAUAUUAUAUUGUGGUACAAAUCAUAAUGAAAUUAUUUUGGAAAAAUUCUUUUUUUAUAAAUUUAUAAAAUGUUCCAAGUAUUCAUUAAUUUGUUAUAUAUUUUAACUUUUUGUAUAAUAUAAAUUUAUUUAUAUAGUCAAAAUGAUUUUAAAAAAUUUUUUGAUGAUUAUGUAAAUAUUAUAUUGAAUUAUUUAUUUAAUGAUAAAAAAUGGUUACUAAAAUUUUAAUAGUGAACAUAUAUAUAUAUAUACAUUGAAUAACUAUUUUAAACGUUCAUUUUUUGAGAUAAAUAUUUUUAUAAAAAUAAUAAUGUAUGGAGAAAAAUUCUCUAAAAACAUAUUCUAUUAUUUUUAUUAUUAUAUUACAUAGUACAUAAGCAUAAUUCAAUUAAGUUUAUAAAACGUAACUCCAAUAAAUCUUUUUUUUUUAACUUUUCUAGAUGAAGUAAUUUUUACUAAUAUUGUUGACGAUAUUACUAAAUAAUUCUUGUGCGCGUUGCUCACUUUAUUAUGUUUCAUAACAUAAAAUUAUAAUUGAAUAGGUUCAAAAUUCAUCUUAUUGACCAUU